GAGCUUUAGUAAGAGAGCUAACAGAUAAGAAAAUUAGGCACAAGCAAAAUUGAGGUGAGGUUUAAAGUAGGAGUGCAUUCAACAAAAUCUAUUCCUAAAACACUGGCUAGGGAACCAUCUAUUAUGCGGAUUUUUUCCUUUCUUGAACAUGCUGAAUAGGUUGUGAAUUGGUUUUAAGAGCCUAUCAUGUGUUUGUUUGCUUCGGAGUCUAUAACCCAAAAAGUUUUUUCAAGAUUGGCAAAAAGAGCAUUAUUUGAUUUAACAAAGUUAGAAGAGGC
This 278-nucleotide unclassified non-coding RNA is filed under the name Hevea brasiliensis (rubber tree). Lineage: Eukaryota; Viridiplantae; Streptophyta; Magnoliopsida; Malpighiales; Euphorbiaceae. The record is from RNAcentral.